CCUACGGGUGGCAGCAGUGAGGAAUAUUGGUCAAUGGACGCAAGUCUGAACCAGCCAAGUCGCGUGAGGGAAGACUGCCCUAUGGGUUGUAAACCUCUUUUGUCAGGGAGCAACGCCGGCUACGUGUAGCCGGACUGAGAGUACCUGAAGAAAAAGCAUCGGCUAACUCCGUGCCAGCAGCCGCGGUAAUACGGAGGAUGCGAGCGUUAUCCGGAUUUAUUGGGUUAAAGGGGUGCGUAGGCGGAAUGCCAAGUCAGCGGGAAAAUCGCGGGGUCAAACCUGGCUCGGCCGUUGAAACUGGCGUUCUUGAGUGGGCGAGAAGUAUGCGGAAUGCGUGGUGUAGCGGUGAAAUGCAUAGAUAUCACGCAGAACUCUGAUUGCGAAGGCAGCAUACCGGCGCCCAACUGACGCUGAAGCACGAAAGCGUGGGUAUCGAACAGGAUUAGAUACCCCAGUAGUC
This 460-nucleotide ribosomal RNA is filed under the name uncultured bacterium. RNAcentral describes it as "partial 16S ribosomal RNA". It matches the Rfam family "Bacterial small subunit ribosomal RNA", at positions 338 to 795 of the family's 1533-position model. The record is from RNAcentral.